GAACCCCUGGUUUCAUGACGCAGGAACGCAUCGGAGGUAUGGCAAACGCAAACGUUGAACUGACAGGGUAGAUGUCAAAUAGAAGAUGAAUUAGGAAUGAGGGACAUUGAAGGACGGAAAUUGUCAUAGGUGGAAGAAGAUGAAUUAAAUAAAAAUAAGAAAAGCUAGUGAGACAGAGUAGAAGCAUUUUUUCUGAUAAGAUUGUUAAAUUAGUUGGAAAUUUGCGGAAUUUAGUUUGUCAUUAGAUGACUAUAUCGAGUGCCAGCCUGAAAACCAUCUGGAGAAUUUGAUAGUUAACAAGUAAGCAUAAAUAAAUAUGAAUUCGAGCAAAACACAUAAGUACCACAUUGGAUCUAGGUCUAUUGAACAGAGGGUGCAUUUUGAGGACCAGGCAGGCCAAUUGGGUCAUGACAACACAGGACAAACGAAGAUAAACAUUCUGUAAGUGAAAUACCAAUACUGUGUUGAGCUAAUAUCAACAAAACGCCCACGCAAUACCUAAAUCAUCCAAUAUUGUCUAUGGUUUAAUGGUUAGGUCACUGAUACUGCUACGUACAGUCAGGAUUUGGUUUACGCGAACUGAGUGGCGAAAAUAUAGAAUCGGGCGAGUGACGGCUACGAAGAAACAAUAAUUGUAAGUAAACACUAGUUUAAAUUCAAUAUCAAAGUAUAAUGCAUUCAAUAUAUUUUAGCUUUGAUCGGCGAAUAAUAAAGUCGAUUUUUCAAAGAGGUUUCUUGUUCAGUCCGAACAAUAUCAAAGAAUUAUUUCUCGGAUUGAAUCACUCGUCAUAUGAUGACUUCGCACCAUUCCAAGGACGCGGACCAACUCGGACUCCCAGCAGAUGAUCGCGCAGUUUGCGUGUAUUGCAAAAAGUAUGCAUCGAAGGAUGUCAACUGGGUCCAGUGCAAAAAUUGCGAGGAAUGGGCUCAUUUUUCCUGCGCCGGCGUUGACGAGAGUGUAGUCGAUGUGGACUGGCUCUGCACGCGAUGUACUACUACCACCGGGCAGCAGCUGAACGUUCCUAAGGGUAGAAAGCGAUCAAAUAAGGGCAAAUCUGGAUCGAAGGGCGAAUCGGGGUCUGUUCGCGGCAGUGGUUCUGUCUCUGAUCUAACUGACCAGCAGUUUGAGGAGGAACAGCUUGCGCGCGAAAGAGCUUUCGAGAAGCAGAUGGAGGUUCGGGAGCAAAGAUUGCGUCGAGAGAUGGAGUGGAAUGCAAAACAGCUGGCGAUGGAACGUAGAAUGCGGCAAUUGGAACUGGACGCGCAGCGGAAAAUGCGAGACGAACAGCUCAAACAGGAACAAACACUCUUGGAUGAACAGUUGGCUGCGGAAAAGGUGUUUCUGGAGAAGCGAACCGCGCUUCGUAGUCAGAUGAAUCGAAGCUUUCAGAAGGUUCAAUCAGUUAUCGACGAUGAGGGAGCCGUAGGUGGCAUUUCGGAGGAACCCACCAAGAAGGUGAAAUCUUGGCUUAGAGAACAGGACGAGUUCUUAACUCCUCUGGCAGUAGACAAACGCGGGGCUUAUAAGAAAGGUGAGAAACCAUGUAUUGUAGUGGAACCAGAAGGUUCACGGAUUGAAUCGAUCCGGUCGUCAGCCGGGAAAAUUCGGUCAGUCUACGAGAAUGAAGCUGAUGAAAACGACGAGAACGAGAGUGAUGAUGGGGAUGCGACGGCUUCUGGGAGAGAGAGACACACAGAUCACUGGUCUCCUAUCCCUAGCGAAGCGGGUGGGUAUCUUCGCGGAUCCGUCAACCGUGCCUUCAGGUUGUCGCGAGAACAGAUUGCUACGAGGAAGGUUGUGUCCAGAACUCUACCUAAAUUCAAUGGAGAUCCAGAAGCGUGGCCACUUUUCAUAAGUAGCUUUGAACAUACUACCAGAGCUUGCGGCUACUCCAAUAUUGAGAAUCUCGACCGGCUACUGAACAGUUUGGAGGGAGAAGCGCUCAACGCAGUGAGAAGUAUGCUAGUGCUUCCAGAUUCAGUACCAGAGGUUAUUCGAGAUUUGCGCAGAUUGUUCGGUCAGCCAGAGAGAUUGUUGAGAACAUUGCUCAACAAAGUUAAAAACGCACCACCACCGACAACGGAAAAUUUGAAGACAUUCGUCACCUUCGGCAUAACGGUCAAACAGUUGUGCGACCAUUUGGAAGCUGCACGUCUCCAUGAGCACCUUAACAAUCCGCUGAUGGUUCAACAGCUAGUCGAGAAGCUACCACCGGAAUACCAGAUGAAAUGGGUAGAGUAUCGGCGCAGCAAACAUGGAACUCCGCUAAGGCUUUUCACCGAUUACAUCACGGGCGUUGGUGACGUUGCAUCCGAAGCAGUAGCAUACAAUUCGACGACCAAAGAACUGGCACGAAAUAUGAAACCGAAGCUCACUAAGAAGAAGGAAUUCGUCCAUGUCCACAACUCAUCGUCUACGCAUACAGAAGGAACAUCAAACGAAAAGCCAAGUAAACCCUGUUGGAUCUGCAAGCGUACCGACCACCGAAUCCGAUUCUGUGAUGACUUCCGGAAAAUGAAUAUCGCAGAGCGACUGAGAGCUGUUGAAAAGGAGAAGCUGUGUGGAACUUGUUUGAAUAAGCAUGGCGACAACCCGUGCGGGUCAAAACUGCGGUGUACGGUCAAAAACUGUAAAGGAAACCAUCACAGCCUACUACAUAGAGCGGAAGAGUCUGUGCAGCUUCAGAAGGUGGAAUGUAACAAACACGAAGGUUCAACGCGUUCAGUGAUCUUCCGUAUGGUACCGGUGACCCUACACGCUGAUAGUAAACGGUAUGAUACGUUGGCCUUCUUAGACGAAGGUUCGUCUACUACGCUAAUAGACGACGAGGUGGUAAAUUUACUGCAAGUUAAAGGACAACCGGAACCACUCAUCGUUACAUGGACAGGGAAUAUCAACCGUUGUGAGAAUACUUCUCAGAGAGUCGCGAUAACGUUAUCAGCUCAGGGUUCGAACGAAAAGAUUCUACUUGAGGAUGUUCGUACAGUGUCAGAGCUUCUGCUGCCUCGACAGGAUAUGCGGUUUUCAGAGGUUUCGAGACAGUAUCCUCAUCUGGCAGGACUGCCUGUCAAAGAUUAUCGGGACAAACGAGCGACAAUCUUGGUCGGCCUUGACAAUCUGCAUUUGUUCGCGCCUCUAGAAUCUAGAGUAGGUAAUUGGAAUGAGCCGAUAGCGGUCCGAUCAAAGAUGGGUUGGACGGUUUACGGACCGGAAAAGCAAAAGCCUAACGCUAGUACAUACCUAAACCUCCACUCCGUAACACCAAUAACCAAUCGACAACUACACGAACUGAUGCGCGAGCAGUAUGCACUGAAUGAGAUUGGCGUGACGUCAUUUGCGAUACCAGAACCUAAGGAGGAACAAAGAGCAAAAGCGAUUCUUAAAUCAACGACGAAACGGAUCGGGGAGCGGUUUGAAACUGGAUUGCUUUGGCGAGAAGAUGAACGAAGGUUUCCUGAUAGCUAUCCAAUGGCUAUGCGCAGAUUGAAGGCGCUGGAACGGAAGUUGCAAAGAGUUCCAGUGUUGAAGCAGAAAGUUUGUCAGAUGAUUGAGGAGUACGAGCUGAAGGGAUAUGCGCACAAAAUCACUGAUGCAGAACUUUCCGAAACACCCAUUACUUCUGUUUGGUAUCUGCCACUAAACGUAGUAAUAAACCCACGAAAACCCGAUAAAAUACGCCUGGUUUGGGACGCUGCGGCUACUGUCGCAGGCAUAUCACUGAAUUCGGAGUUGCUUAAAGGGCCGGACAUGUUGGUGCCUCUCCCAAAAGUCGUCUGCUGCUUCCGGGAAGGUCCUGUCGCCCUUGGGGGCGACAUCCAAGAGAUGUAUCACCAAUUGAAAAUUAGAGCCGACGACAAACAAGCGCAACGCUUCCUGUAUCAGUCAAAGGACUCAGGAGCUCCGCAGAUAUAUGUGAUGGAUGUGGCUACUUUCGGAGCCACCUGUUCACCUUGCUCUGCCCAGUUCGUUAAAAACAUAAAUGCAGAGCAGUUUUCGGACGAAUACCCUCAGGCAACCUCAGCAAUCGUGAAACAGCACUACGUGGAUGACUACUACGACAGCGUGGAUUCAGUUGAGGAAGCAAUCCAACGAGCUAGAGAAGUAAAAUACAUCCACGCGAAGGGCGGCUUCCACAUCAGGAACUGGGUGUCAAACUCGGCUGCGUUUCUAGAAGCGUUGGGAGAAAGGAGCGGCGAAGAAGUUGUGCACUUUAAUCGAGACAAAGGAUCAAAUUGCGAGCGGGUUCUGGGAAUCGUUUGGAAUCCUGUGGAAGACGUCUUUUCCUUUUCUACAGCCUCAAAGGCGGAAUUUGUGAAGGUUCUAGAUGGCGAGGAGUACCCAACGAAACGAAUGGUUCUGAGCUUCGUAAUGGCACAAUUCGAUCCGAUCGGGCUUCUUACUCCAGUUACUGUACGCGGCAAGAUGCUGGUGCAAGACCUUUGGAGAACAGGUUGCGACUGGGAUGAAAAGAUCGAUGAAAUAGCGGCACACAAAUGGAUGCGAUGGAUAAGUCUGAUGCGGAGUAUUGGAUCGUUCAAGCUACCACGCAGCUACUUCGGGAAUGCUAAAUCGUGCGAAAUAAAGGACUUGCAGUUGCACAUAUUCACAGAUGCGAGUGAGACAGCGUAUGGUUGUGUGGCGUACUUCCGCGCGGUAGUACGCGGAGAAGUGAGGUGCGCACUAGUAAUGAGUCGCUCCAAAGUAGCACCGCUGAAACAAAUAUCGAUUCCUCGCUUAGAGCUCAUGGCUGCAGUUUUGGGAGCAAGAUUAGCCCGGACGGUUCAAGAGAGUCACAACUUCGUAGUCGACCGAGUAGUGUAUUGGACGGAUGCAAACGUAGUACUAUCGUGGAUUCGAUCCGACCAGCGUCGAUACAAACAAUUUGUGGGUUUUCGGGUUGGAGAAAUUCUCAGCUUGACCAAAUUGACUGACUGGCGCUGGGUGCCAACACGUUUCAACGUGGCAGAUCAACUUACGAAGUGGGGAAAAGAUCCAGAAAUGCAUCCAGAAAGCUCAUGGGUGUGCGGACCAGCCUUCAUCUACAAAUCAGAACAUGAGUGGCCAAAAAAGGAGUUGCCGCCCCCUAACACCAUGGAAGAACUUCGCGUGAAUUUGCUGAUACACGACGUCAAGCUUCAAGAGGAAAUUAUAGACUCCUCACGCAUAGCAAAAUGGACUAUCCUAGUGCGAACUUUGGCGACAGCUUUGCGAUUCAUUUCAAACUGCCGGCGAAAACUUAACGGACAGGCGAUAGAGACUCUUAAAGGAACGGAGCGACAACAGAAACUUUUGAAGAGUGGUGCUGUUCAUGGGAUUCGUGUGCCGUUGAAGCAAGAAGAAUACAAAAGGGCUGAACGAUGUUUGAUAAAGAUGGCACAAGCGGAGUGUUUUAGCGACGAAAUUAAGGUGAUGAAACGGAACAACAAUCGUCCGGUUGAUCAAUGGAUCGCGCUAGAAAAAUCUAGUCCGUUGAGCAAGUUGACACCCUUAAUCGACGGAGAAGGUUUGAUUCGAAUGGAAGGUCGGUGCGAGAAGGCUGAACAUUUGCCGUUCGACUUGAGGUUUCCACUUAUACUGCCCGCUAACUGUAGAAUCACAAACAUGAUCGUCCAAUACUUCCACGAAAAGUGCGGGCAUGGAUACAGGCUGACAGUGAAGAAUCAAUUGAAGCAACUGUAUCACGUGGUUCACAUCGACGCAGUUGUGAAAAAGGUGGCAUCAGCGUGCAUGUGGUGCAAAGUACGACGCAAUCGUCCGCGGGUCCCGCGGGAGGCACCACUACCAGUGCAGCGUUUGACACCAAGCCUUCGUCCCUUCAGCUUCGUCGGGGUCGACUACAUGGGACCAUUUGAAGUGACGGUGGCACGUCACAAAGAAAAACGAUGGAUUGCCUUGUUCACUUGCUUGGUGACUAGGGCAAUUCACUUGGAAGUGUCCUUUGGACUCACUACCCAGUCUUGUUUAAUGGCGAUCAGCCGGUUCGUCGCUCGAAGAGGCUGGCCGAUAGAGUUCCUAUCCGACAACGGUACAAAUUUUCAAGGUGCCAGUAAAGAAUUGUUAGCGUUGAUCCAGAGUAUUGAGCUAGAUUGCGCUGAUGAGUACACUAAUGCCAGAACAAAAUGGACCUUUAACCCUCCUGGGACACCCCACAUGGGAGGCGUGUGGGAACGCCUAGUGCGUUCGGUUAAGGAGGCCCUAAAAGCUCUAGACGACGGAAGGCGAUUAACAGAUGAAAUUAUGCAAACAGUCGUUGUUGAAGCGGAGGAUAUUAUUAAUUCUCGACCGCUUACAUACGUGGAACAGGAAUCGGAUGAAGUAGACGCGCUGACUCCGAACCAUUUCCUACGUGGACCACCGUCGCAUCAAUAUCAGAUAGUGGCUAGACCCCCACAUCCAGCAGAAGCCCUACGAGAUUCUUUCAAGCGUUCCCAACAGCUGUCCAACGAACUUUGGCAACGCUGGGUCAACGAGUAUGUUCCAUCAUUGAAUCAACGGACAAAGUGGUUCGGUGAAACGAGGCCACUGAAGACUGGCGACUUGGUGUAUAUUGUAGAAGGGAGUAACCGGAAGUGCUGGGUACGCGGGAGAGUGGAGGAACCUAUCAUGUCCAGCGAUGGCCGUAUUCGACAGGCAUGGGUGCGAACGAGGACUAAGCGAUACAAGAGAUCUGUUGCUAACUUGGCCGUUUUAGAGUUGGACGAUGGUAACACCGAACCGGAAGUCACCCCCGGUUUAGGGUUACGGGCCGGGGAUUGUUGAGAACCCCUGGUUUCAUGACGCAGGAACGCAUCGGAGGUAUGGCAAACGCAAACGUUGAACUGACAGGGUAGAUGUCAAAUAGAAGAUGAAUUAGGAAUGAGGGACAUUGAAGGACGGAAAUUGUCAUAGGUGGAAGAAGAUGAAUUAAAUAAAAAUAAGAAAAGCUAGUGAGACAGAGUAGAAGCAUUUUUUCUGAUAAGAUUGUUAAAUUAGUUGGAAAUUUGCGGAAUUUAGUUUGUCAUUAGAUGACUAUAUCGAGUGCCAGCCUGAAAACCAUCUGGAGAAUUUGAUAGUUAACAAGUCUAUUGAACAGAGGGUGCAUUUUGAGGACCAGGCAGGCCAAUUGGGUCAUGACAACACAGGACAAACGAAGAUAAACAUUCUGUAAGUGAAAUACCAAUACUGUGUUGAGCUAAUAUCAACAAAACGCCCACGCAAUACCUAAAUCAUCCAAUAUUGUCUAUGGUUUAAUGGUUAGGUCACUGAUACUGCUACGUACAGUCAGGAUUUGGUUUACGCGAACUGAGUGGCGAAAAUAUAGAAUCGGGCGAGUGACGGCUACGAAGAAACAAUAAUUGUAAGUAAACACUAGUUUAAAUUCAAUAUCAAAGUAUAAUGCAUUCAAUAUAUUUUAGCUUUGAUCGGCGAAUAAUAAAGUCGAUUUUUCAAAGAGGUUUCUUGU
Aedes albopictus (Asian tiger mosquito) is the source of this 7442-nucleotide RNA transcript. RefSeq lists it as uncharacterized. The transcript is spliced from 2 exons. Lineage: Eukaryota; Metazoa; Arthropoda; Insecta; Diptera; Culicidae. The record is from RefSeq and is a predicted model, not a curated record.